ACACACACACACACACACACACAGUGUGUGUGUGUGUGUGUGUAU
RNAcentral lists this microRNA precursor (45 nucleotides) under Podarcis lilfordi (Lilford's wall lizard). The record is from RNAcentral. Lineage: Eukaryota; Metazoa; Chordata; Lepidosauria; Squamata; Lacertidae.